AAGGGUUUCGGCUCGUAAAGCUCUGUUGGUAGUGAAGAAAGAUAGAGGUAGUAACUGGCCUUUAUUUGACGGUAAUUACUUAGAAAGUCACGGCUAACUACGUGCCAGCAGCCGCGGUAAUACGUAGGUGGCAAGCGUUGUCCGGAUUUAUUGGGCGUAAAGCGAGUGCAGGCGGUUCAAUAAGUCUGAUGUGAAAGCCUUCGGCUCAACCGGAGAAUUGCAUCAGAAACUGUUGAACUUGAGUGCAGAAGAGGAGAGUGGAACUCCAUGU
This 271-nucleotide ribosomal RNA is filed under the name uncultured Lactobacillus sp. Its description in RNAcentral is "partial 16S ribosomal RNA". It matches the Rfam family "Bacterial small subunit ribosomal RNA", at positions 411 to 674 of the family's 1533-position model. Lineage: Bacteria; Bacillati; Bacillota; Bacilli; Lactobacillales; Lactobacillaceae. The record is from RNAcentral.